This is a small nuclear RNA of Callithrix jacchus (white-tufted-ear marmoset), 197 nucleotides long. Its record names the gene U2. It matches the Rfam family "U2 spliceosomal RNA". From Rfam's summary of the family: U2 is a small nuclear RNA (snRNA) component of the spliceosome (involved in pre-mRNA splicing). Complementary binding between U2 snRNA (in an area lying towards the 5' end but 3' to hairpin I) and the branchpoint sequence (BPS) of the intron results the bulging out of an unpaired adenosine, on the BPS, which initiates a nucleophilic attack at the intronic 5' splice site, thus starting the first of two transesterification reactions that mediate splicing. Lineage: Eukaryota; Metazoa; Chordata; Mammalia; Primates; Cebidae. The record is from Ensembl.
AUCACUUCUCAGCCUUUUGGCUACGAUCAAGUGUAGAAGCAUUUUUUGACCAUGUGACACUUUUGGCUUCCUAGUCCUAGGAAAAAACAAUCUUAGAUUUCUAGGAAGAACUGAGAAGCUGAGGCACCAGACCCUUUGUCUGACAUGGUGCAUUUUUUGUGUAUAAAAUGCCUUUCCAUAUAAAAAGAAGUGUGAAU